GACGAACGCUGGCGGCGUGCCUAAUACAUGCAAGUAGAACGCUGAAGGAGGAGCUUGCUUCUCUGGAUGAGUUGCGAACGGGUGAGUAACGCGUAGGUAACCUGCCUGGUAGCGGGGGAUAACUAUUGGAAACGAUAGCUAAUACCGCAUAAUAGCAGUUAUUGCAUGAUAACUGUUUGAAAGGUGCAAUUGCACCACUACCAGAUGGACCUGCGUUGUAUUAGCUAGUUGGUGGGGUAACGGCUCACCAAGGCGACGAUACAUAGCCGACCUGAGAGGGUGAUCGGCCACACUGGGACUGAGACACGGCCCAGACUCCUACGGGAGGCAGCAGUAGGGAAUCUUCGGCAAUGGACGGAAGUCUGACCGAGCAACGCCGCGUGAGUGAAGAAGGUUUUCGGAUCGUAAAGCUCUGUUGUAAGAGAAGAACGAGUGUGAGAGNGGAAAGUUCACACNGNGACG
This 462-nucleotide ribosomal RNA is filed under the name uncultured bacterium. RNAcentral describes it as "bacterial SSU rRNA". It matches the Rfam family "Bacterial small subunit ribosomal RNA", at positions 28 to 474 of the family's 1533-position model. The record is from RNAcentral.